UUUUUAUACUCACGAUGGAGGAAACAGUCGUAUUUGAAGCACCUUCUACAAAAUAACGUAUGGAAGGAAUGCAUUGUUUGUUCUCUAGGUACACUCUUUGCAUUCACUCCAUCAAUAUUCGGUGUACAUUCUGGAGAUACCUUUGCUUUCGACAUUGCAACAAAAGCUUAUUCCGAAUACUACAAAAUGGUGUAUGAGUACUUGGAUUUCUUUUAUUACUGAACUGUCUUUAUUUGACAGUAGAUGUCUAUGAUGUGAUGACGUCGAUAGGAGUGAUAUGGCGGUAAAUUCAAAUCCAAAUCCAAAUAAACAAAAUUCCAAAAUGGAUAUGAAUGUGUACAUUAAGAAUGAAAUUCGAAGUCAUUUACAUGAAGAGUCAGACGCAUUUAUACAUAUAUCUAUAUAUGAUGAUGGCAAGAAGAAAAACACAAAUACCCUAUCGAAAAACUCUGAAUUAGUUAUUAAAGAAUAAUAUUUAUAUAUUAAUAGUUUCUGAAAAAUGUAUUUAAUCUUAUAAUUAAUCGACUCGUGUUUCAACUAUAAAAAAAGUUAUAAAUUGUACUUUGGCAAUCAUUUUCUUAACUUGGACUCUGUACAUAUAUCAUACAAUACACGUGCAUUUCGGGUACAAUGGCGGAAUGAAAGCAGCACUAUGAUUCGAGAGUCAUUGAAGUGGAACUGGCGGGAAAAUCCUUGAUUGGACAGAGCCUGAUUCACGUGGUCUGACCUAAGUAUGCAGUUCUAGACAAUAGAGCAUGGAGAAGGGUGUUAGGAGAAAGAGGCUCGAAGAAAGAAAAGAAUCACUUUCAUCAUCUUUUUCUAUCUUGAAAUGUAACUUGUACCUCUCACUAAAUAAAAUACUUGAUUUUGAGAAAUAAAUAAAAUUUAAUAUGAAAUUGUUAUAAAA
Long non-coding RNA from Bombus pyrosoma, 907 nucleotides. RefSeq lists it as uncharacterized. The transcript has 2 exons. NCBI's taxonomy places the organism in Eukaryota, Metazoa, Arthropoda, Insecta, Hymenoptera, Apidae. The record is from RefSeq and is a predicted model, not a curated record.